GGCAACGAGCGGGGAAGGCGGGGCCGGGGGCGGAGCCAGCCCCGGGGGGCGGGGCCACCCGGCGUGAGGGGGCUCCGCGCCGGGGCUCCUUUCUCUGUCCCUCCUCCUGUCCCUCCUGUCCCGGCAGCCGGGGGAGCCUCAGCGCCUUCAAACCAAGCUCCCCCCUAGCCGGGGCAGGACACAGUGCUGCGUGCUGCGGGUGAAUGGGGACCCUCGUCCCCUCUAGAGAAGCCCGAGCGUGGCGGGGCGGUGACCGGAGCUGAGGUGUUGCUGUCUGAGUGUUGCCGGCAGCGGCGCGCUGCGUGCGCACGGUGGUUACGGCAGGGUCACGGAAUGUGUCAGGAUCAGCACAGGGUCAUCUGGCCCGGCCCCUCGGCUCAGGCAGGGCUCGGGGCUGUGUCCAGACGGUGCUGGGGUGUCUCCAGUGAAGGGACUCCAUGCUCUCCAUGGGCGAUCUGUUCUUACAUAGCACAGAAUAUCUACGAGCAGAACAGCGCUAGUGUGCUGUGCUCCUACACAAAUGUCUCACGAUCCUGUGCCAGUCCAAGUAAUAUUUUUGGUCCCUCUGCUCGCAGGAUGGACUCGGGGCUGUUGUGAUUAAUAUGAAUUGAUCCAGUGUGAACUUUUAAUCGACAUCUACGGAGGCUGAAAUCUUCCUGUUGAGGCAGAGCCUUGCAGAUGGUUUAGUGGGUGUACACUGAUUUUUCAUCUGCACGCUGGGCCUGGAGAUUACAUUCGUUUCAGAGCCACAGAAAUGCCAUUGCACUGAUACUGAUGAGAGCAGAUGCAGAGCCCUGUAACCACCUUCUGUCUCUCUCUGCUAGAGGAUUGGAAGUGCAGGGGGGACAUGUGUCUUGUAUUGCCAUUACUGACUCUCCACGUCAUCUUCCCUGUGCAGAGGCCUCGGCUCCUGGGUCAGAGGUUCUGUGAAGUUAAUUAAGGAAUUCCUGUAUUCUAAUCCCCACAUCGGAAACACGCCGAGCCUGACUAACAUUUCUGGAGAGGCAUGAUGCAAAACUGGAAGUAAACAGGAUCUUGGUGCAACAAUACAUUUAUCUGAAAGAGUUUGAUUCUUAUCCUCUGAUUGGAACUAUUAUCAAGAUGCUGAAGUGCAUAUUCCUCAGCAAAAAUCCAUAAUUUCCAAAUAAAAGUGUGUGCUGUUAAUGCCAAAGAAUAGUUCCCAUAGCUAUAUGCAGUCUCACUUACAAUGUAAGAAACAGCCCUUGGUACAGCUGUUGAUGUUGUGCACCUGACAGUCUCUGUGCCCUGACUUAACACAUGCUGGCCCUGGCUUCUUCAGCAUUUUUUGUUUUUCAGCUACUGUCUUAAUUCAUCCUGUCAUUGUUGGUCCAGAUUUUUCAAAUCAACAUCUGAGUCACUUUGUCAGUGCCCCUCUGUAAAGUCCUUGUACUACAACUCCAGUGAGUCCUGGCAAACCACUGUGGCUUCACACAAGUGGGCUCCACGGCUCAUUUUCACUUCAGAAGCAGCCAGUGCUUUGUUUUUGUUUGGAAAUUAUGCUUUUCCUCUGCAAUUCUCUGCAACAGACUAAUGGAGGACCAUAAUCCCGCAAUUGCCUGACUUUUAUCCCACUUUCAAAGCAGGAGUGUUCCAACAGAAAUUGCAGACACUCAGAAUUUUUCAUCUACCCUUAGCUAGUUGUAGGCUGGAGAGCAGGAUUGUGAGACUGGGAAAUUAAUCGGUCUUGAAA
Long non-coding RNA from Passer domesticus (house sparrow), 1711 nucleotides. RefSeq lists it as uncharacterized. Lineage: Eukaryota; Metazoa; Chordata; Aves; Passeriformes; Passeridae. The record is from RefSeq and is a predicted model, not a curated record. The transcript has 2 exons.